Molecule: small RNA, 92 nt
Filed under: Rheinheimera sp. SA_1
Lineage: Bacteria; Pseudomonadati; Pseudomonadota; Gammaproteobacteria; Chromatiales; Chromatiaceae
Description: t44 RNA
Rfam family: t44 RNA
About the family: This family consists of a number of bacterial RNA genes of between 135 and 170 bases in length. The t44 gene is found between the map and rpsB genes in all species in the full alignment apart from Shigella flexneri.
Source: Rfam by way of RNAcentral
CCAAACUUAAUUAAAUAACACACAUACACCGUCACAUAAGCCGGGGUGCCAGUGAAAACUGGUCGGAUUUAUGGGGUGUAUGGAGGCCUAAC